UCGCUGUGGUUUACACACCGAAUUCUGAAAGCCCCUCAAAAAGUGAUUUUCUGUCGUUUCAGACAAGCAAAUAAGAAAUAAAAAGGACACGUAGAAAGAAACGAAGGAAAUAUGGUGUCCCGGAAUUUCGUUCGGUACGUCGGGUACGCCGGCGCCGCUGCAAACUGGCUGAUUCCCAUUGCUGGGAUCAUGAAUCUUCCGACUCGCCCUAUGUCUGAUAUCGAUCCAGUUAUGACAAGCGUUAUGUGCGUCUAUAGCAUGUUCUUUAUGCGGUGGUCUGUCUCUAUUCUGCCGGCGAACUAUCCACUGUUUGCGUGCCACGCAACAAACAGCACGGUGCAAGCUGUCACAUUGGGCCGCUGGUGCUACGGCACCGCAACGCAACCGCAGAAGGUGAUCGCGUAAGGCACUUUUGCUUGUUUCGCGCCUUCCUCUACUUUCCCCUUCUCUCACUUGGCCAACAGACUCAGCUCAGUCUCACGAGGCGAACUUGACAUUCAUCGGGGCGAAAUCAAAAAAGCGUAGCAGCAUCGCACGGCAGUCCUUUGUGUAUAGGUAUGCUUAUUUCACUCGGUAAGGAUUGCACUUAGCGCCAGUAGGUCUGAUUCUCAAUUCCGCCUCUUGUGGCUUUGUCCGAUAUAUACAUAUAUACAUAUCAGUAUAUAUAUGUAUGCAUAUAUAUAUACUGAUAUGUAUCAAGGCCUUCAAAAGAGUACUUGUUGAGGAACACGCAUUUUGCGAGACCAACUGCAUGAUGGGGUGAAGAGCAUUCAACGUGUUGCUUCCUCUGAGUUUUUUGUUGUUUCUAUGUUUGAAUUAUUAACCUCCUGCUUGGUGGACUAUCAAUCUGGCACCUGCAAAGACGACGCUGGUCGACGGGAAACAAACAGACAAAAAGAAGCAACUCAAAUUGUGUGGGGGGAAGGUGUUUGGUGAGAGCAGUGGCCAUGAACCUGAGACUACGAAGACAUCCUCCCACCCCCAUCAUUCCUCUGCAGUCCGCCAAGAAGCACAUCUUGGCAUUCG
This 1026-nucleotide unclassified non-coding RNA is filed under the name Leishmania donovani. RNAcentral's name for it is "gene:LdHU3.01.0380(CDS-product:Uncharacterised_pr otein_family_(UPF0041)_putative)". Lineage: Eukaryota; Euglenozoa; Kinetoplastea; Trypanosomatida; Trypanosomatidae. The record is from RNAcentral.